CCAACAACCACAGGCAGGUCUUGUACUUGCUCUGUUGCAGUACCUCUGAAUGUAAUCUCCAUGAAAGCAAGGACUAUGUCGAUUGUGUUUUUCUCUGAAACCGCAGGGCUGGGAAAAGAAAGUGAGUCAGUGAGAAUGAGAGCCUCUCCACCCUGUUUUCUGCAUCAUCUGGCUCUCAGCGUCAGCACGCACAGCGUCUCCAGAGUUGGAGCAUUAUGUCACAUGCUGGAUAGGUAAAGAAACAGAGGCUCUUAGACAUUAAAUCACACAUCCAGAGCCACACAGAAUGCAUCCCAGCAGAGUUAGGAAUUUCUGCCCAGAUCGGGAUGAUCUCAAAGCCCUGGGUUUUUCCACCUGACCUGCUCGGCUGCCAGUUAUUGAAUUGAGCGAGAACCAUCAGACAUCCUUGGGGCAGAGGGUGCUCUUCACCUGAUUCAAACAGCGAGAGCAGCUCCAUUUCCAAGAUGCCAUCCCUUCAGUUGGUCUGAAUGUCUCUGGGCUCCUGGAAUUCUCCUUCUGGAGACACAAACUCAAAUGGCCAACACCAAGGACUUCAGCUUCCUGGCCCCCAGACUGCUCGCACUCCCGUCUUCCCUGGCUCACAGUGUGGGGCCAGGACACAAAGCUAAGCAUCAUCAGAGACCCCUUCUUCCUCACUCCUCAUGUCUACUCCACUGUGAGGUCUGGGUCCCUGCCCACUCCCUACCUUGGUGCCCAGGUGACUGCAGCAGCCUCCUCCAUGGUCUCCCUGCAUCCGUUCUCUGUGGACUGCCCGAGUGAGCUUUCCGGAGCACAGAUUCAACCUCAACCACUCCUCCUUGCCUGUAGGAUAAAGUCUGAAUGCCUCAGCCUAGAGUCCAGGAUCUUCACACACUGACGCCUGCCCCUUGCACAGCCACGUGGUCUACGGGACCCUCCUCUCUUGCCAUCCCCGCACAGCGAAUGUUCUUACAACUUCCUGCCACUGGUACGAGACACGAGAUGAGCUGAGAGCCACUGGACGCGAGAGAAGAGAGCCACGGGCUGUGACAAUGAGCUGUCCCUUUCUGGCACAGCGACCCUGCCCACUAGUAAAAACAGUCUGUUCGGCGUCCUAGGAUCUUGCUAGUUAGUUCCUUCCUUCCUUUUGGGAGAACGAGAAGGGGCUAGAACAUGGACAGGUCCCUACCCCUCACGGACACUGUGGGAGGGCGCUCAGAAAUAUAAAAUUGUCUCUGUGUGGCCUCCACUUACCUGCCUGUCUUGAUAAAUGACUCCUUUCCUCGUUCCCUGCGGCCAGUAGCCGGCAGAAGACAAAGGCCGGCAGGUUACUCCCCGGUCGAGGUGACACAGUGUUUACGCCCUGUCACCUGUGGUGCGGGGAACAGUCAUCAGUUAUGUUUGUUACCUUGCAGGAUCUCAUUUGUAUGGGGUAUUUCCAAAGCACUCAGCUGAGCUUUCAGCAGAACAACCACCUGCUCUUUUUUAUGCUCAUGUUUCAUCAGUUCUCAUCAUAUUUAACUAAAUAACGUAAUUAUAAUAAUGAGUUCAAUACAAGUGAAAUGCAGGAAAGAAAGUUCUAUUUCUAUGCGAACUGAGUUGAAUACUUUGAAGACACACCAUAAAGGUCAGUGUUAAAAAAAAUUCUGUCCAAUUAUGUGUGGAUGAAAGACCUCUAAAGUAUUAGGAAAAUGAGCAUAAAAAUCCAGAAGGAUUCUGCACUCGGGCUGCGUUUUCUUGCUCUACUUUGAAGAAGCCUGAAGUGUAAAUGUUAGACGUCUUAGGGCUAUGGUUUAUGGAAAAAAGAGAAUGCAGAAUUCCAUCAACAGACCCAUUCUUAAAGGCCUUGGAGGCUUCUGUCUAAAUAUUGCUCAGAUGCAUGCACAUUAAUGUGCUUUAUGUUAGAGUACGAUGUUUAGACAAUGCUAUGUUCUGAAUAUCUCUGUCCCCACCAGAUUCAUAUGUUGAAAUCCUCAUGCCCAAGGUGAUGGUGUUAGAAGAUGGGGUCUUUGGGGUAAUGUUAGGUCAUGGAUGUGGAACCCUCAUGAAUGGGAUUUGUGUUCUCAUAAAAGAGAUCCCAGAGAGCUCCUUUGCCCCCUUCCACCGAGUGAGGACACAGCGAGAAAGGGCUGGCUAUGAAUCAGGGAGUGGGCCCUC
Molecule: non-coding RNA, 2136 nt
Organism: Leptonychotes weddellii (Weddell seal)
Lineage: Eukaryota; Metazoa; Chordata; Mammalia; Carnivora; Phocidae
Source: RefSeq, a predicted model, not a curated record